RNAcentral lists this long non-coding RNA (245 nucleotides) under Lathyrus oleraceus (garden pea). RNAcentral's name for it is "Pisum sativum (pea) long non-coding RNA (PSAT_LNC035378)". Lineage: Eukaryota; Viridiplantae; Streptophyta; Magnoliopsida; Fabales; Fabaceae. The record is from RNAcentral.
CUAUUUUUAUUUUAAUUUCUGAUUUUAUAUUUUAUCCUUUUAGUUUAUUUAAUUUAUAAUAAUUUCAUUUUUAAUCCAAAAAAUAUGGGACUUUCACCAAAAAUCUUUAAGUAUUUUUCUCUUCCAUAUUCUGAAUUAAAAUUAUUUGUUGGAUUAAUUUUGAUAUUUUUCCUGAAUUAAUUAUUUUUAUGCAUAUUUUUAAUUGUUUAAAAAUACUUCUGACUUUUUUUAAAAUCAUGAAUUUU